Long non-coding RNA from Zalophus californianus (California sea lion), 329 nucleotides. RefSeq lists it as uncharacterized. The transcript has 3 exons. NCBI's taxonomy places the organism in Eukaryota, Metazoa, Chordata, Mammalia, Carnivora, Otariidae. The record is from RefSeq and is a predicted model, not a curated record.
GGCAGUUUCUGAUUCCUCUGCUGGAGUGACCACAUGGGUGAGGCCGUGGUAGCACAUGGAGAGGGAGAGAAGCCCAGCUGAGCCCGGCUCUCCAGCCUUCUAUUCCAAGGGGCCCACAUGGAAUUCUUUCUCGGUCGACACAACAGAGGAGUUAAGAAAUAGAAGAGGACCUCCCUGUCCCUGCCAAUAAUCCACCAGAUCUUCGAACUGAGAAGGGGCAGAGAGUGGCCUAAGAAUCAGGUGCUGAUACCUGUGUGCUAGUCCUGUGUGCAGCAGACGACUGGACAUUGACAUCAGGCUCAAUGCUUUCUCAUGUGACAUUUUCUAGG